Anser cygnoides (Swan goose) is the source of this 1547-nucleotide long non-coding RNA. The record is from Ensembl. Lineage: Eukaryota; Metazoa; Chordata; Aves; Anseriformes; Anatidae.
GUGGGAGCGCGGGGGCUCGCUGGGUGCACCCAAACGCCAGGAUCCCGGAGCCUGGUUUGUUCUCCCCUCUGGCCUGGCUCUGCUGGGGAAUUUCCACGGGGCUGUGGCAGGAGCUGAGGGACCCUCAUGUGCUUCCACACGAAUCGCCAGGCACAAAGCGGUGCUUGGCUCCGGCCGCACAUGUUGGCGGGGGGCUGUGCAGCACCCACGCAGCCGAGCAUCCCUCGCUCCCCUCGCUCCACACCUGCGUGGGACAGACCCGAGAUGCUUUGCAGCAGCCCGGGGGACCGCCAGGACUGCAGUUCUGUGCUGUUCUGUACCCCGGUGCUGAGCAUGCAGCGUGGUGGAAGCCAUCCUGCCAUGAACGCGUGGGCGCCAACGCUGGCCGCACGCUUUGCAGGCAGAACUGCAGCCCUACACGGGGAGUUUGCUCCGUGUUUGGAAUCACAGAAGGAAAUUAUGCAGUUACAAGGAUGGCAUAAUUGAGAGAACGCUUGACUAGCGCAAUUUUCUUAUGUGCCUGUCAGCAAAUCACUUAAUCUGUGCUGUGCCAAGUUUCCCAUCCGUUAAAUGGGGAAUGAUUAUCCCCCUGCUUCCUAGGAGGGAGCGCGAAUAAUACCCACUAAUGACUGUGGAGGUACUGGAAGGUGGCCACGGAGACGCGCAGUGACACACGGAGUAGCUGCAGAACUGGAGAGAGCGAGCAGCAUUUCAAAACCAACCUUCAGAAACGGAUUCCUCCUCCUGCUGCUUUUUUUUUUUUUUAAAUGAAUUUAUUAAAGAAGAUCCCAAAAUAGGUUCGCCUCUCCCGCUCCGGAUUUUUAAAGCUUUCUCAGGCAUUCCUGGGCCAGGACACCCCGGGUCCUAUGUGCGAGAACAGGAAAAUGCGGCCGAGAAGCGGCACCCCGGGCAGCGAGGAGCUCUGCCUCCGCCCGUCCGACGGCCCCCCCGGCCCCCCCAUCGGCAGGGCCCGGGGAGCGGGGGGGGGCCGAUGCCCGCCGCCUCCCGGGAGCUGCAGGCAGCUCGGGGUCACCUUGGCCGCAUCGAGCCGGGGGGGGGCCACCGUGGGCCGCCGCCUCCUCCGCUCGGGAGCCCCGGGGGGGGGCCCCGCUGCCGCCCCCCCGCCUCCGCUCCCGCUCCGGCCGCAUCCGGCCCGGCCAGGGGCAGCCGCUGCAGGCUCCCCCCCCCGGGGGACGUGGGGAUGCUGCGAGCAGCCAGGUUCCCAGAAGAUCUGGAUCCCUGCCCUGCAGAGGUGGAUGGCAGCAGAAGCUGGCUGGAUUUUUGUUGGACGUGGCUCCGGAGCAGCUCCCUGCCUGCGCAGAGCCCAGCCGCCGUUCGAGCUCGCGGGGUUGCUGCCUGAGACCGCACCAUGCGGGCUGAGCGAGUGGAUCAGCGAGUGGAUCAGGCCCGGGAGAGACAGAAAUGAGCAGAAAUCCCCCACUGCAGAGGCUGCUUCUGCAGGAGACUCGGUGCCCCGUGGAAAGGUCUGCGCUUCGCAGUGCCUUUUUUGGUACAAUGCUGCCAACUCCCGUGUUCUGCUGCAGUGA